GUCACAGAAGAACAGCACAAAACUAAACCAGUUUCUAUUUGAGCAAUGUAAUUUUUUGUUAAACUGAAUUGAUAUGGAGCGAUCCUUUUAUAUAUUGUUUGUAAGGCAAAAUCAACUGGCUUGCGUUUGCAAACAUAUUACUAAUUUACUAUGAUGUGUGGAAAAUUACAAGAAAAAGGAGAUAAUUGCUUUACAUGGGCAUAGGCAUAAUCUUUUGUAGAUAAUUGCCUCAUGACCAUAGUUGAAAAUACCGUACACGUAUAAUUUAGGUUGGCUAAAUGCUGUUUAUAGAUUUAGUUACAAUACAUAUUCACUAUAGAUUGUUGUGGGAGGUAGCUUUUACAAUGAUAGGAUGCAGAUUUGCCUCUCAUCUUUACAUUCUUCUCUUCUUGUUUAUACCAGAAGGUCACCACAACCAUUUAUCCCAUGUUCUAUAGUCAUAGGAUCAGUAAUUAAUGAAAGGAAAUUACCGAUGAAGUAAUGUAAAAAUUUUGAGUUGCAUGGCCUUGUACAUUGGCAAGAAGAAUUCUGAUUAUCAUAUAAAUGUCAGUAAACGCACGUGCUGUUUUUUGUGGUUUGCCGAAGGAAAAGGGACCUGAAAC
Molecule: unclassified non-coding RNA, 602 nt
Filed under: Hevea brasiliensis (rubber tree)
Lineage: Eukaryota; Viridiplantae; Streptophyta; Magnoliopsida; Malpighiales; Euphorbiaceae
Source: RNAcentral